Molecule: ribosomal RNA, 549 nt
Filed under: uncultured bacterium
Lineage: Bacteria
Description: bacterial SSU rRNA
Rfam family: Bacterial small subunit ribosomal RNA
Source: RNAcentral
AGGGAAUCUUCGGCAAUGGACGGAAGUCUGACCGAGCAACGCCGCGUGAGUGAAGAAGGUUUUCGGAUCGUAAAGCUCUGUUGUAAGAGAAGAACGGGUGUGAGAGUGGAAAGUUCACACUGUGACGGUAUCUUACCAGAAAGGGACGGCUAACUACGUGCCAGCAGCCGCGGUAAUACGUAGGUCCCGAGCGUUGUCCGGAUUUAUUGGGCGUAAAGCGAGCGCAGGCGGUUAGAUAAGUCUGAAGUUAAAGGCUGUGGCUUAACCAUAGUACGCUUUGGAAACUGUUUAACUUGAGUGCAAGAGGGGAGAGUGGAAUUCCAUGUGUAGCGGUGAAAUGCGUAGAUAUAUGGAGGAACACCGGUGGCGAAAGCGGCUCUCUGGCUUGUAACUGACGCUGAGGCUCGAAAGCGUGGGGAGCAAACAGGAUUAGAUACCCUGGUAGUCCACGCCGUAAACGAUGAGUGCUAGGUGUUAGACCCUUUCCGGGGUUUAGUGCCGUAGCUAACGCAUUAAGCACUCCGCCUGGGGAGUACGACCGCAAGGUUG